AAUAUAAGGUUUAGGGUUUACGUUUAGGGUUUAGAGUUGAUGUUUUAGGGUUUUGAUUUGAAGGUUUAGGGUUUAGGGUUUAGGGUUUAGGGUUUAGGGUUUAGAGUUGAUGUUUCGUGGUUUAGGGUUUAAAGUUGAUGUUUUAAGUUUUGAUUUAGGGUUUAGAGUUGAUGUUUUAGGGUUUAGAUUUGAAAUUUUAGGGUUUAGGGUUUAGAAUUGAUGUUUCGGUGUUUCGGGGUUUAGGGUUUAGAAUUUGAUGUUUCAUGGUUUACGGUUUAGAGUUGAUGAUUUAGGGUUUAGAGUUAAUGUUUUAAGUUUAUAUUAGUUAAUGUAUGUUUUUUUGUCAAAGGUUAUAAAUGUCUUUUAGUCUU
RNAcentral lists this long non-coding RNA (371 nucleotides) under Brassica napus (rape). RNAcentral's name for it is "long non-coding RNA (BNAP_LNC023074)". Lineage: Eukaryota; Viridiplantae; Streptophyta; Magnoliopsida; Brassicales; Brassicaceae. The record is from RNAcentral.